GAUGAACGCUGGCGGCGUGCCUAAUACAUGCAAGUCGAGCGAACAGACGAGGAGCUUGCUCCUCUGACGUUAGCGGCGGACGGGUGAGUAACACGUGGAUAACCUACCUAUAAGACUUGGAUAACUUCGGGAAACCGGAGCUAAUACCGGAUAAUAUAUUGAACCGCAUUGUUCAAUAGUGAAAUACUGUUUUGCUGUCACUUAUCGAUGGAUCCGCGCCGCAUUAGCUAGUUGGUAAGGUAACGGCUUACCAAGGCAACGAUGCGUAGCCGACCUGAGAGGGUGAACGGCCACACAGGAAGUGAGACACGGUACAGACUACUACGGGAGGCAGCAGUAGGGAAGGGUGCGCAAUGGGCGAAAGACUGACGGAGCAACGCCGGGUGAGUGAAGAAGGGCUUCGGAUCGUAAAACUGUGUUAUGAGGGAAGAACAAAUGUGUAAGUAAAUAUGCACGUGUGGACGGUACCUAAGCAGAAAGCCACGGCUAACUAGGG
RNAcentral lists this ribosomal RNA (496 nucleotides) under uncultured bacterium. Its description in RNAcentral is "partial 16S ribosomal RNA". It matches the Rfam family "Bacterial small subunit ribosomal RNA", at positions 28 to 506 of the family's 1533-position model. The record is from RNAcentral.